RNAcentral lists this ribosomal RNA (865 nucleotides) under Phlebotomus sergenti. RNAcentral describes it as "SSU rRNA". It matches the Rfam family "Eukaryotic small subunit ribosomal RNA", at positions 568 to 1272 of the family's 1831-position model. Lineage: Eukaryota; Metazoa; Arthropoda; Insecta; Diptera; Psychodidae. The record is from RNAcentral.
CAGCAGCCGCGGUAAUUCCAGCUCCAAUAGCGUAUAUUAAAGUUGUUGCGGUUAAAACGUUCGUAGUUGAAUUUGUGUCCCACACGGGUAAUGCACCCAAGUGCGGGUUUUGCAUUACUUGUUGCUCUGUGCGUUUUGUGUAAAAGCAAACGUAUAGUGUGACUUUAAGUGUGACGGAUGUUUUACCGGUGAGGGAAACGACUAAUUAUGCCCCUAUAUUGGCUUUCGGGUUAUAUAUAUAGGUCAAGCAUAUUAAUACGCCCCUUAUGUUAAAAGACCCAUUUUAGUGCUCUUUACCGAGUGCUAUUGUGGGCCGGUACAAUUACUUUGAACAAAUUAGAGUGCUUAAAGCAGGCUAAAUUUAAUGAAAAUUAAAACGCCUGAAUAUAUUUUGCAUGGAAUAAUGGAAUAUGCCCUCUGGUCUAUUUGAUUGGUUUUUAGAUGCCAAGAGGUAAUGAUUAAUAGACGCAGUUGGGGGCAUUAGUAUUACGAGGCGAGAGGUGAAAUUCGUAGACCCUCGUAAGACUGACUUAAGCGAAAGCAUUUGCCAAGGAUGUUUUCAUUAAUCAAGAACGAAAGUUAGAGGAUCGAAGGCGAUCAGAUACCGCCCUAGUUCUAACCAUAAACGAUGCCAGCUAGCAAUUGAAUGUAGCUACUUAUUUCAGGCUCAUUCAGUCGCUUUCCGGGAAACCAAAGCUUUUGGGCUCCGGGGGAAGUAUGGUUGCAAAGCUGAAACUUAAAGGAAUUGACGGAAGGGCACCACCAGGAGUGGAGCCUGCGGCUUAAUUUGACUCAACACGGGAAAACUUACCAGGUCCGAACAUAAAUGAGUAAGACAGAUUGAUAGCUCUUUCUCGAAUCUAUG